This 445-nucleotide ribosomal RNA is filed under the name uncultured bacterium. Its description in RNAcentral is "bacterial SSU rRNA". It matches the Rfam family "Bacterial small subunit ribosomal RNA", at positions 330 to 792 of the family's 1533-position model. The record is from RNAcentral.
CCCAGACUCCUACGGGAGGCAGCAGUGGGGAAUAUUGCACAAUGGGGGGAACCCUGAUGCAGCGACGCCGCGUGAGUGAAGAAGUAUUUCGGUAUGUAAAGCUCUAUCAGCAGGGAAGAAAAUGACGGUACCUGACUAAGAAGCCCCGGCUAACUACGUGCCAGCAGCCGCGGUAAUACGUAGGGGGCAAGCGUUAUCCGGAUUUACUGGGUGUAAAGGGAGCGUAGACGGCAGCACAAGUCUGGAGUGAAAUCCCGGGGCUUAACCCCGGAACUGCUUUGGAAACUGUGCGGCUGGAGUGCAGGAGGGGUAAGCGGAAUUCCUAGUGUAGCGGUGAAAUGCGUAGAUAUUAGGAGGAACACCGGUGGCGAAGGCGGCUUGCUGGACGAUGACUGACGUUGAGGCUCGAAAGCGUGGGGAGCAAACAGGAUUAGAUACCCCAGUA